AUUGAACGCUGGCGGCGUGCCUAACACAUGCAAGUCGAGCGGUAACAGGUGUAGCAAUACAUGCUGACGAGCGGCGGACGGGUGAGUAACGCUUGGGAAUCUGCCUAUUAGUGGGGGACAACCCGGGGAAACUCGGGCUAAUACCGCAUACGCUCUACGGAGGAAAGCCGGGACCGCAAGGCCUGGCGCUAAUAGAUGAGCCCAAGUCGGAUCAGCUAGUUGGUAGGGUAAGGCCUACCAAGGCGACGAUCCGUAACUGGUCUGAGAGGACGACCAGUCACACCGGAACUGAGACACGGUCCGGACUCCUACGGGAGGCAGCAGUGGGGAAUAUUGGACAAUGGGCGAAAGCCUGAUCCAGCGACGCCGCGUGGGUGAAGAAGGCCUGCGGGUUGUAAAGCCCUUUCAGUGGGGAAGAAAAGCCUCGACCUAACACGUCGGGGUCUUGACGUACCCAUAGAAGAAGCACGGCUAACUCUGUGCCAGCCGCCGCCGUAAC
This 499-nucleotide ribosomal RNA is filed under the name uncultured bacterium. RNAcentral describes it as "bacterial SSU rRNA". It matches the Rfam family "Bacterial small subunit ribosomal RNA", at positions 29 to 524 of the family's 1533-position model. The record is from RNAcentral.